Molecule: ribosomal RNA, 569 nt
Filed under: uncultured bacterium
Lineage: Bacteria
Description: partial 16S ribosomal RNA
Rfam family: Bacterial small subunit ribosomal RNA
Source: RNAcentral
UGGGGAAUCUUCCGCAAUGGACGAAAGUCUGACGGAGCAACGCCGCGUGAGUGAAGAAGGUUUUCGGAUCGUAAAACUCUGUCUUUUGGGGCGAACGUGAGUAUGGUGAACAAUCAUAGUCAGUGACGGUACCAAAGGAGGAAGCCACGGCUAACUACGUGCCAGCAGCCGCGGUAAUACGUAGGUGGCAAGCGUUGUCCGGAAUUAUUGGGCGUAAAGAGCGCGUAGGCGGGAUAGUCAGUCUGUUGUAAAGUGCGGGGCUCAACCCCGUGAUGGCAAUGGAAACAGCUAUUCUUGAGUGCAGGAGAGGAAAGUGGAAUUCCCAGUGUAGCGGUGAAAUGCGUAGAUAUUGGGAGGAACACCAGUGGCGAAGGCGACUUUCUGGACUGUGUCUGACGCUGAGGCGCGAAAGCCAGGGGAGCGAACGGGAUUAGAUACCCCGGUAGUCCUGGCCGUAAACGAUGGGUACUAGGUGUGGGAGGUAUCGACCCCUUCCGUGCCGGAGUUAACGCAAUAAGUACCCCCGCCUGGGGAGUACGGUCGCAAGACUGAAACUUAAAUGAAUUGAC